CCUACGGGAGGCUGCAGUGAGGAAUAUUGGUCAAUGGGCGAAAGCCUGAACCAGCCAAGCCGCGUGAGGGAGGACGGCCCUAUGGGUUGUAAACCUCUUUUGUCGGGGAGCAAAAGCCGGACGUGUCCGGCUGGGAGAGUACCCGAAAAAAAAGCAUCGGCUAACUCCGUGCCAGCAGCCGCGGUAAUACGGAGGAGGCGAGCGUUAUCCGGAUUUAUUGGGUUUAAGGGGUGCGCAGGCGGAUUUUGAAGUUAGAGGUAAAAUCGCGGGGCUCAACCCCAUCCAGCCGUUGAAACUGGGGAUCUAGAGUGUGCGAGAGGUAGGCGGAAUGCGUGGUGUAGCGGUGAAAUGCAUAGAUAUCACGCAGAACCCCGAUUGCGAAGGCAGCAUACCGGUGCACAACUGACGCUCAGGCACGAAAGCGUGGGUAUCGAACAGGAUUAGAUACCCGAGUAGUC
RNAcentral lists this ribosomal RNA (458 nucleotides) under uncultured bacterium. Its description in RNAcentral is "partial 16S ribosomal RNA". It matches the Rfam family "Bacterial small subunit ribosomal RNA", at positions 338 to 795 of the family's 1533-position model. The record is from RNAcentral.